CUUGUAGCUUAGUGGUAGAGUACUGAUGCAAAAAAACAGAGGCCCGGGUUCGAUUCCCGGCGAG
RNAcentral lists this transfer RNA (64 nucleotides) under Agrilus planipennis (emerald ash borer). It matches the Rfam family "tRNA". Rfam says of the family: Transfer RNA (tRNA) molecules are approximately 80 nucleotides in length. Their secondary structure includes four short double-helical elements and three loops (D, anti-codon, and T loops). Lineage: Eukaryota; Metazoa; Arthropoda; Insecta; Coleoptera; Buprestidae. The record is from Rfam by way of RNAcentral.